RNAcentral lists this long non-coding RNA (220 nucleotides) under Arachis ipaensis. RNAcentral's name for it is "long non-coding RNA (AIPA_LNC000877)". The record is from RNAcentral. Lineage: Eukaryota; Viridiplantae; Streptophyta; Magnoliopsida; Fabales; Fabaceae.
CCCGACCCAUAGACAGAAACAGAGAUCCGGAUCAACCCAACAAACUCUAACACUAAGCAAAGUAACUGAAAACCCCUCCCAAGAAACCACCGAAUUGAGAAGACUUUCUGUUCUUGACGUUGUUGCCGUAGUCAACGCCCUCGCUGUCGCCGUCGUGGCAGCAGGUGGCUGCAAUGUCCCUCUUCUCAAAUCGUCACUGCUACGCUAUGUGUCAUCCCUC